AACGAACGCUGGUGGUAUGCUUAACACAUGCAAGUCGAACGAAUAAGGCUCCUAGCUUGCUAGGAGAUUCUGUUAGUGGCAGACGGGUGAGUAACGCGUGGGAAUCUACCUAGUAGUGGGGAAUAACAGUUGGAAACGACUGCUAAUACCGCAUACGCCCUUCGGGGAAAAGGCUUCGGCCGCUAUUAGAUGAGCCCGCGUUGGAUUAGCUAGUUGGUAGGGUAAUGGCCUACCAAGGCGACGAUCCAUAGCUGAUUUGAGAGGAUGAUCAGCCACACUGGGACUGAGACACGGCCCAG
Molecule: ribosomal RNA, 299 nt
Filed under: uncultured bacterium
Lineage: Bacteria
Description: partial 16S ribosomal RNA
Rfam family: Bacterial small subunit ribosomal RNA
Source: RNAcentral